GACAGAUGAGCCAAGCGUUGUCCGGAUUGACUGGGCGUAAAGCGUCCGCAGGCGGCUGGGCACGUGGGGUGUGAAACCGCUCGGCUUAACCGAGCGCCGCCACCUCAUACGGCCCGGCUCGAGCGCGGGAGAGGUCUGUGGAAUUGCCGGUGUAGUGGUGAAAUGCGUAGAGAUCGGCAGGAACACCAAGGGCGAAAGCAGCAGACUGGCCCGUGGCUGACGCUCAGGGACGAAAGCGUGGGGAGCGAACUGG
This 253-nucleotide ribosomal RNA is filed under the name uncultured bacterium. RNAcentral's name for it is "partial 16S ribosomal RNA". It matches the Rfam family "Bacterial small subunit ribosomal RNA", at positions 524 to 776 of the family's 1533-position model. The record is from RNAcentral.